UGGGGAAUAUUGGACAAUGGGCGCAAGCCUGAUCCAGCAAUGCCGCGUGGGUGAAGAAGGCCUUCGGGUUGUAAAGCCCUUUUGUACGGGAAGAAAUCCUGUCGGUUAAUACCCGGCGGGGAUGACGGUACCGUAAGAAUAAGCACCGGCUAACUUCGUGCCAGCAGCCGCGGUAAUACGAAGGGUGCAAGCGUUAAUCGGAAUUACUGGGCGUAAAGCGUGCGUAGGCGGUUCGUUAAGUCUGUCGUGAAAGCCCUGGGCUCAACCUGGGAAUGGCGAUGGAUACUGGCGAGCUAGAGUGUGAUAGAGGAUGGCGGAAUUCCCGGUGUAGCGGUGAAAUGCGUAGAGAUCGGGAGGAACAUCUGUGGCGAAGGCGGCCAUCUGGAUCAACACUGACGCUGAGGCACGAAAGCGUGGGGAGCAAACAGG
Molecule: ribosomal RNA, 429 nt
Filed under: uncultured Lysobacteraceae bacterium
Lineage: Bacteria; Pseudomonadati; Pseudomonadota; Gammaproteobacteria; Lysobacterales; Lysobacteraceae
Description: bacterial SSU rRNA
Rfam family: Bacterial small subunit ribosomal RNA
Source: RNAcentral